AUUGAACGCUGGCGGCAGGCCUAACACAUGCAAGUCGAGCGGAUGAAGGGAGCUUGCUCCUGGAUUCAGCGGCGGACGGGUGUGUAAUGCCUAGGAAUCUGCCUGGUAGUGGGGGAUAACGUCCGGAAACGGGCGCUAAUACCGCAUACGUCCUGAGGGAGAAAGUGGGGGAUCUUCGGACCUCACGCUAUCAGAUGAGCCUAGGUUGGAUUAGCUAGUUGGUGGGGUAAAGGCCUACCAAGGCGACGAUCCGUAACUGGUCUGAGAGGAUGAUCAGUCACACUGGAACUGAGACACGGUCCAGACUCCUACGGGAGGCAGCAGUGGGGAAUAUUGGACAAUGGGCGAAAGCCUGAUCCAGCCAUGCCGCGUGUGUGAAGAAGGUCUUCGGAUUGUAAAGCACUUUAAGUUGGGAGGAAGGGCAGUAAGUUAAUACCUUGCUGUUUUGACGUUACCAACAGAAUAAGCACCGGCUAACUUCGUG
This 484-nucleotide ribosomal RNA is filed under the name uncultured bacterium. RNAcentral's name for it is "partial 16S ribosomal RNA". It matches the Rfam family "Bacterial small subunit ribosomal RNA", at positions 30 to 507 of the family's 1533-position model. The record is from RNAcentral.